UUGAGCAAAUGUGCCUCGGGGGAGAACCACACAUGCGACCCCUCUCUCUCAUUUAGGAUUGCCGCCGCCGCCCUCAUCCACGCUGGUGCUUCAUCUUCUGUACUGAGCUUCACCUCAUCCAGGCCCCCCCUUGCCUCUCCUCGCCUCGCCGCUAGGGUUGCCGUUGCCGUCAUUCAUGCCCUCAAGCGGGGAUGGGAUAGAAGAAGCGUCUGGUGGUGAUGUCCUCUUGUCGACUGCGGUGGCGCAGACGGCGUCGAGGGGCGGGGCCGACCUGCUGGCCGAGCUGACCAACCGCUUGAGGUUGCUGGAGUCUGAGGUGCGAGAAGAGGUCCAACAGACAGAGGGAGUGUCCGUGGGAGAAGCACCCACUACAAAAUCCAUUUUCUCUCUCUGUGUGUGUAUGUGUUGUGGAUUUGGAUCAAGGAAGGAGAUGGCGUGGGGAUGAGGCAGUGGGUGGAGGAAGAGGGCGAUGCCGGCGGACGGAGGGGGCGGAUCUUGAUCCAGGCCGCCCCUCGUGUCUGAUUUGUUCGUUGAGAUGAUCUUCUCUCCUCCCAUCUCCCCCUCUCUUCUCUCACUGACCCCAUCUCGUCUCUGCAGGUAGAGCGGCGUGAGGACCAGGCCAACAUCUCUCUUUACCUCCACCAAACACCAACAUGGUUGAGAGCAUAAAUGCAUCAUUCAUCCAUCAACCCAUCUAUAGAUCCAGGAUGAUUGCUUACAUCUAGCCAGCAAUCUACUUCUUGGGCGAUAAUUUUGACAAUCAUAAAACCUUUCAGGUCUGACUAUCUUGUGAUGGUGAUUCUAGCAAAGAUAGCAAAGGUAAUGAUGCAACAAAAAUGAUGGGAGCGACUCUCAACAUUCAGAAACAUUCAGAUUUCACAGUUUAAGAAAGAAGCUUGCACGACAGUAAGCUAACAAGAAAACUGCACAAUGAGUAAUGAUUUGAGACUUCGAAGCGAUGGGAUCAAAUUGUUUAUCUUAAGAGAGCAAAAGUAUCUUUGUCUUAUCCAUUGUACAACAAAGUAUGGCAGAGGCACCUCUAUCUAUAACUGUCUGCUACCUUCUGAUCAACGUUAAAAUUAACGCGACUCACG
Molecule: long non-coding RNA, 1094 nt
Organism: Hordeum vulgare subsp. vulgare (domesticated barley)
Lineage: Eukaryota; Viridiplantae; Streptophyta; Magnoliopsida; Poales; Poaceae
Exons: 4
Source: RefSeq, a predicted model, not a curated record